Oncorhynchus kisutch (coho salmon) is the source of this 2014-nucleotide long non-coding RNA. NCBI's taxonomy places the organism in Eukaryota, Metazoa, Chordata, Actinopteri, Salmoniformes, Salmonidae. The record is from Ensembl.
AGCCCAGGGAAGCUACGGAGCAAGCCAAACCAGAACCUACAAAAAAAGGUACAGAUAUGAUUGUUUUUGUUGCAUCAAAUGUAUAAUAGCCCAGUUCCUGAGAUUAAUGUUGCGUCUCAUCCAAUGAUUGUUUUAGAAGCUGAAGUUCCCAAAGAAAAAAACAAAGCAGCUACAUCAAAGAAAGGUACAAAGUUUGUUAAACACAGAACCCUUUUUCGCAACUGAGUUAAGCCAAGCUACAGUAUACUGGGCUGGCCUAGAUACCCAUCAACAGUAGUUGCUGGAACUGUGCUGGAAAGGACAAUUUGAAAAGAAAAUAUCUGAACAAGCACACUACGUUUUGGCUUGACUCUAUAGUCUGAAUCAGGUAAGACUGUAAUGUAUGAUACAAUAGCGGCAGGUAGCCAAGGUCCUUGGUGUCUUGAACCAGCAACCUUUUGGUUACUGGCCCAACGCUCUGGGUGAAAAAUCUGUUAAUUUGCCCUUGUGCAAUGCACUUAACCCUAAUCGCUCCUGUAAAUUGCUCUGGAUAAGAGGGUCUGCUAAAUGACAAAAAUGCAUCAUUUUUAUUUUUUUAAAUUCUGAUUUAGAUACUGGAGCAAAAGAAGAGGCCAAACUAACUCUAGCAAAGAAAGAUGCUGCAGCUAAAGAAAAGGUGAAAACAUCCCCUGCAAAGAAAGAUGCUGAAACAAAAGAAAAGGGCAAACUAGCUCCAGAAAAGAAAGGUAACAAAUUAUUUUUUAAUAGUUAAUUUUCCAUUUAUUCAAAUAAUAAGUAGGCAGGCCUAUGUGUCGGGUUUAAUGUAAUUUAUAAAACAUUCUAUCAAUAUCUUAUUGUAAUGACUGUACUUUUUCCAAAGGAAAAGCCAAACCAACUCCUGCAAAUGAAGGUAACAGAAUUAAUUGACUUCACAACUAAAAUGAUAUUAAAGACGGUACAUAAUCACAGAGAAAAUGGUUGUCUAGCUUUAUUCAUAAAGAAACACAUUUAUGAUGUAUUUGAUUCAGAUGUUGCAGUUAUUAAAGAAAAGGUGAAAUCAGCACCUGCAAAGAAAGAAGCUGAAGUUCACAAAGAAAAUGCCAAAGCAGCUUCCUCAAAGAAAGGUAUGUAUAACUUUUUUCUUUAGACUUGAAACAAAAACAUAGUCUUCCUAUAAAUAAAGGUCUGCCACAGAGUGUGCUUCAUUUCUCUCUCAACCAAUUAUUCAGUAUGGGUUUGAAUCAAUUGCAAUUUGAACCUUUGCUGUAUAUGUUAUCAUUCUUGUUUGAUUAGAGUCCAAGGAAACUAAGGAACAAGCCAAACCAGAACCUACAAUAAAAGGUACAGAUAGGAUAUUUGUUUUCUGGCUUCAAAAUGUAUAAUGGCCCAAUUCUUGAGAUUCAUGUUGUGUCUUGUCCAAUGAUUGUUUUAGACAGUGAAGUUCCCAAAGAACAAACCAUAGCAGCUACAUCAAAGAAAGGUGCAAAUUAUUCUUUGUGUACCACAGAUCUAGAUCGGUACACAGAUCUAGUUUACAAAAUAAUUUUUCUCUGAUUUAGAUGCUGAAGCAAAAGAAAAGGCCAAAUUAGCUCCAGAAAAGAAAGGUAUGAAAUUAUUUUUGAAUUGUUAAUUUUCCGCUUAUUCAAAUAAUAAGUAGGCAGCCUAUGUGUCCAUUUUAUGCUAUUUAUAAAACAUUCAAUAAGUUAUUAUUGUAAGGACUGUUGUACGUGAACUUAGAAGCUGAAGUUUCCAAAGAAAAAGCCAAAGUAACUCCUUCAAAUGAAGGUAACAGAAUGUAUUGAUUUUUAACACCACCAAUAUAAUAUUACAGACAGUACAUAAUCUCAGAGAAAAAAAAACAUCCUGCUAUAUUCAUAGAGAAACACAAUUAUGUUGCUUUUGAUUCAGAUGCUGCAGUUAUUAAAGAAAAGAUCAAAUCAGCCCCUACAAAGAAAGGUAAGAAUGUGGUUAGUAUGUAAUUAGGAAUUUGUUAUAAUAUUUGUUUGCAUUGUGUUGUAUUUAUUUAAAUUCACGG